This 2068-nucleotide long non-coding RNA is filed under the name Capsicum annuum. Its description in RNAcentral is "long non-coding RNA (CANN_LNC008655)". Lineage: Eukaryota; Viridiplantae; Streptophyta; Magnoliopsida; Solanales; Solanaceae. The record is from RNAcentral.
UUUAGACCCCCAAAUUCACAUUCUCUCCAAAAUUCCUCCGCGAACUCUCUCAAGGGUUUCAAAAUAAAAAUCCUAAUAACUCAAGAUUCAAUCAUGAAUUUUCAAAAUUGAUUAGAGAUUCGGAAUUCCCAAUCCGCAAGCUUCAAGAAUCAUCCAUUAUUCUUCGUAAUCGAGGUACACGGGGUUUUCCUAAAAUCUCAUGGGCAUAAAAAUCAUGUUUUAAGAAUGGGGUUUUGAAAUUUAUGAACAUAAUCAUGUUUUAGAAGUUUUGACGGUAGUGUUUUGGUCUUUAGACCUUUCCCCCAAAUUGAUUUGAAAUUAUGUAUAUAUGUAUAUAUGUGUUCAAGAAUGAUUAUUGAACUGAGAGCAUGAUUUACAUGAAACCCUUCUCUUGAUGUAGUUUUUCUCAUGUUUCACAUGAUAUGGAUUGUUUUGAAAUACAUCUUGAAAAGCAUGUUAGGAAAUAUCGUAAUUUAUGAAUGACUUGGUUAUGAAUCUUGAUUUCAAAAGAAAGGGUUGUUUGUAUUGACAAAUGCUGAAUAUCCAUAUAAUGAAAGAGUGCACGAUUUUGCCAAAAGCACAUGACCACCAUAUGUUUUGAAGAGUUUUUGCAUGAGUUUUGUUUUAUGUUUCAGAACAUGAAAUCUUUUAUAUUAUUUAGAUGUGGGUGGUCUGAACUAUGUCUUUAUGAAAGAUCUUGCUAAAUGCAUUAUGGCACAGAAAACACAACUUGCAAGUCUUGUUAUGACGAUACCAAUUCAGACAAUGCCAUAACAGACACAGACAAAUACAGAUUUCAGACUUUAUCAGAUUUUUAUGUUUUAGAACUUCAGAAUGAUGCAUGUUCAGAAAAGGCUAAAAUAGGGCAUAAGGAGAUAUUAGGUGGUUCCCCGAAGAAGGCAUGAGUUCAGACAACUCAUUUCCCAAAACCGUGAUUUGCUGAUUCGGGUUUAUAUAUUACGCUGGCCUAGAAUCGUGUGGCAUAUCAAAAUCAGAGACUCCAACUCUUACGGCACACUCGGGUUAGGGGUUUUCCCGCCGAGUCAAUGGCGGAUUCCAUAUAGCCCGUGGAAUAUCAGACUUGUAGGGGAGCGCCACCUAACUCAGAAGUAAUACAAAGAUCAGAAACUGUUUUGACAAGAAUGUUCAAAAUGAUGCCCAUGUGUUUUUGGAAACUAUUUUAUACAUGAUGUUUUGUUAAAUUGCUCUCAUCUACUUUACACAUAUACAAAUACACUAUUUUGGAUUGCUUCGCGUGCCAGUACUUUUGUGCUGACCCUUCCUCCUUUCAGAUUUUGGGACACAGUCUAGGGGUCAAGAUAAACAGUAGAUAUUUCAGAUCACAGAUCAGGUUGUACAGUGGUGAGCCUUCUAUGAUCCAGAAGGCCUGUUUAUUUUCAGAUAUAUAUCUUUAGUCAUGUUUUGAUCUACUGGGGGCCUUGUCCCAAUUUUCAAAUUAUUAGUGAUCAUGUAUUUGAGAUUUUGCAGACGAUUUUUCAAAUGUUGAUAGAUGUUGCGGGACUUUAAUUCCCAUUAUUGAUUUUAUUAGACUAAUAACCAUGUUUCAGUAGUAUUGUGUGUUUUUCGCAUUAUCUUUUAUCAUAUGAAUUAUGUGCAUGAUUACCAGAUAGAUAGGUUUGUUUUAUCAAAGCCUCAUAGUUGACUUGUUCCAUUAAGUUUUCAGCGCCGUGCACAGCAUCUCGAAGUUCAUUAAGCCACUGGCUCACAUGUUGAUUUGAUGCCUGCUUAUUCUCUGCGUCACUUAACACAGCCUGAAGGCCAACCAAAGUCAUUUUCAGCUUCUUUAAGAGUCGAACAUCAUGCUUAUUCUUCUGAAACAUGUUGAGCAGAUCACCCUGAGGAGCAAGCCUAUCAAAGAGAACAUUCAAAGCUGAAGAGAGAAAUGCACCACCAACUGCUAAGCCAAUCUCCAUUUCUGAAAUCUACAAAGCAAAACAAGGAACCACAAAAAUGAUUUUAAGUAUUUUGAGAAGAUAAAUGUUUCUAUCUUCAAAUCAAAUAUUAACAACUUUAUUUUACCUGUUGAAUGUUAAGAGUAAUUUGCAAA